Molecule: ribosomal RNA, 253 nt
Filed under: uncultured bacterium
Lineage: Bacteria
Description: partial 16S ribosomal RNA
Rfam family: Bacterial small subunit ribosomal RNA
Source: RNAcentral
UACGUAGGGUGCAAGCGUUGUCCGGAAUUAUUGGGCGUAAAGAGCUCGUAGGCGGCCUGUCGCGUCGGCUGUGAAAACCCGGGGCUCAACCCCGGGCCUGCAGUCGAUACGGGCAGGCUAGAGUCCGGCAGGGGAGACUGGAAUUCCUGGUGUAGCGGUGAAAUGCGCAGAUAUCAGGAGGAACACCGGUGGCGAAGGCGGGUCUCUGGGCAGUAACUGACGCUGAGGAGCGAAAGCGUGGGGAGCGAACAGG